This is a non-coding RNA of Ictidomys tridecemlineatus (thirteen-lined ground squirrel), 72 nucleotides long. The record is from Rfam. NCBI's taxonomy places the organism in Eukaryota, Metazoa, Chordata, Mammalia, Rodentia, Sciuridae.
GUAGGUGUAGCUCAGUGGCAGAGCACAUGCUAAGCAUGCAUGAGGCCCUAGGUUCAAUCUCCAGAACCUAAA